UUAUAUUUUAUUUAUUAAUUAAUUUUUUUUUUAUUAUAAAUUAUUAAAAGUAAUUAUUAUAUGAAUUGUUUAAGUAUUUUAUAGAGAAAAAAUAAUUUUAAUUAUAGUUAAAUAGUAUUGUGAAAGAAAAUUGAAAUAAUUUGAAAAAUUAAUAUUUUAAAAGAAAAUUUAAUUUAUUGUACCUUGUGUAUCAGGGUUUAUCAAAUAAAAAUUAUUUAUUAUAAUUUUCUCGAUUUUAAAAGAGUUAAUAUAUUAUUAAAGUUAAUGUGAUAAAAUUAUUUUAUAUAAUAUAUUAGAAAUGAAAUGUUAUUCGUUUUUAAAGGUAUCUAGUUCUUUAAGAAAUAAAUUUAAUUUAGGAAUUUUAUAUUAUUUAGUUAAAUAUAUUAAUUAAAUAAUUAUUUUAUUUUAAUAUUUUAUGGGAUAAGCUAUAAAAUAAAUUAUUAAAAAUUAUUAGAUAAAUUAAUAAAUAUAAGCUUAGAAAUAGCUAUUAUUAAUAAAAUUGUUAUAAUUUAUUUUAUUAUAUUGAUUAUUUAUUAAAUUUUAAUUAAUUAUUAAAGUAUUUAUUUUAAUUUAAAAAAUAAAAAAAUAAUGGUAAAAUUAGUAUAUUAUAUUGUAUAAAUAUUAAUAAUUGAGAAGUUUUUAUAAAGAACUCGGCAAAAAUAAUGUUCGCCUGUUUAACAAAAACAUGUCUUUUUGAAUUUUUUUUAAAGUCUAGCCUGCCCACUGAAUAAUUUAAAUGGCCGCAGUAUACUAACUGUGCAAAGGUAGCAUAAUCAUUAGUCUUUUAAUUGAAGGCUGGUAUGAAUGGUUGGACGAGAUAUUAACUGUUUCAUAAAAAUUUAUAAUAGAAUUUUAUUUUUUAGUCAAAAAGCUAAAAUAAAAUUAAAAGACGAGAAGACCCUAUAAAUCUUUAUAUAUAUGAAUUAUUGUAAUUUUGUAGAUUUUUUUUAUUAUAAUAAUUGAUUAUAUUUUAUUGGGGUGAUAUUAAAAUUUAAUAAACUUUUAAUUUUUAAAAUCAUUAAUUUAUGAAUAUUUGAUCCGUUAAUAACGAUUAAAAAAAUAAGUUACUUUAGGGAUAACAGCGUAAUUUUUUUGGAGAGUUCAUAUCGAUAAAAAAGAUUGCGACCUCGAUGUUGGAUUAAGAUAUAAUUUUAGGUGUAGCCGCUUAAAUUUUAAGUCUGUUCGACUUUUAAAUUCUUACAUGAUCUGAGUUCAAACCGGCGUAAGCCAGGUUGGUUUCUAUCUUUAGUAAAUUAAAAUAUUUCAGUACGAAAGGACCUAAUAUUUAAUAAAUAAUUAUUUUUAUAUUGAAUAUAAUUAAUUUAU
This 1326-nucleotide ribosomal RNA is filed under the name Sarcophaga genuforceps. Its description in RNAcentral is "16S ribosomal RNA". The stretch from base 1075 to 1234 matches the Rfam family "Archaeal large subunit ribosomal RNA", at positions 2542 to 2701 of the family's 2987-position model. The record is from RNAcentral. Lineage: Eukaryota; Metazoa; Arthropoda; Insecta; Diptera; Sarcophagidae.